AAGUUAUUUGUUAAUUCAAACAACAUCUGAAAUUUUUGAUCUUUUGUGUCAGUUUAAACUAACAAUAUUAUAAAGCAGAUUCCUGCAUCUCAAAAUGUCAAGAUUAUUGUAACAGAAAUCCUUUUUUUUACAAAGAGUAGGAAAAUUAAUUCAGUUGCUACAUCUUAAAUAAUUAAUCAUGUCUUCUGUUCUUUGCUGGAUAACUUCAGGAGGAAGAUUGGUCCUGAAUACCAUGUUGGCUGGCCUUGACUUGGACACCUAAUUUUCUGACAUCUAAACUUGGUCUAAGAGUGAAAGCAAACAAACUAAUGGGUUAAAAUAGAAGGGGACAGUACAGCAGCCUUUCUCAGCAUCCCUUUGGCACUUCUGAUUCUUCUUGUAUCUGAGGCAAUAAAAGCAGCCCAGCACUGGUUGACAGUCCUUUGUUCCCCCCUACAAGAAGGCCAAGCCCAAAAUUCUGAACAAGCAAUUCAGUUAACUGCUGUUAAGAAGUACCUAAGUUGGUGUUGCUCAGGCAGGAGCUCUCCUGCCUUACCCUCUCG
This 542-nucleotide long non-coding RNA is filed under the name Cyanistes caeruleus (blue tit). RNAcentral's name for it is "lncRNA (ENSCCEG00000020153.1)". The record is from RNAcentral. Lineage: Eukaryota; Metazoa; Chordata; Aves; Passeriformes; Paridae.